Molecule: transfer RNA, 76 nt
Filed under: Escherichia coli
Lineage: Bacteria; Pseudomonadati; Pseudomonadota; Gammaproteobacteria; Enterobacterales; Enterobacteriaceae
Also listed under: 14 other names
Description: tRNA-Met
Rfam family: tRNA
About the family: Transfer RNA (tRNA) molecules are approximately 80 nucleotides in length. Their secondary structure includes four short double-helical elements and three loops (D, anti-codon, and T loops).
Source: RNAcentral
GGCCCUUUAGCUCAGUGGUUACAGCAGGCGACUCAUAAUCGCUUGGUCGCUGGUUCAAGUCCAGCAGGGGCCACCA